Molecule: ribosomal RNA, 581 nt
Filed under: uncultured bacterium
Lineage: Bacteria
Description: partial 16S ribosomal RNA
Rfam family: Bacterial small subunit ribosomal RNA
Source: RNAcentral
UGAGGAAUAUUGGUCAAUGGGCGAGAGCCUGAACCAGCCAAAUCGCGUGAAGGAAGACUGCCUUAUGGGUUGUAAACUUCUUUUAUACAGGAAUAAAAAACGGGGACGUGUCCCCUUAUUGCAUGUACUGUAUGAAUAAGCAUCGGCUAACUCCGUGCCAGCAGCCGCGGUAAUACGGAGGAUGCGAGCGUUAUCCGGAUUUAUUGGGUUUAAAGGGUGCGCAGGCGGGCUUUUAAGUCAGCGGUGAAAUCUCGGGGCUUAACUCCGAAACUGCCGUUGAAACUGGGAGUCUUGAGUAUGGAUGAAGUAGGCGGAAUUCGUUGUGUAGCGGUGACAUGCUUAGAUAUAACGAGGAACUCCGAUUGCGUAGGCAGCUUACUAAGCCAUAACUGACGCUCAAGCACGAAAGCGUGGGGAUCAAACAGGAUUAGAUACCCUGGUAGUCCACGCCGUAAACGAUGAUUACUAGUUGUAUGCGAUAUACCGUAUGUGACUAAGCGAAAGCGAUAAGUAAUCCACCUGGGGAGUACGCCGGCAACGGUGGAACUCAAAUGAAUUGACGGGGUCAUAGCUGUUUCCUG